UUUCCGUAGGUGAACCUGCGGAAGGAUCAUUAAUGAGUUGUCAUGGGGUUCGAUGCUGGCAGCCAAUUUUUGGAUGCAUGUGCUUGCCCUAACAAUCAUCUUCCAAACACCUGUGCACAUCUUUGAGGGAGUCUUGAGUUGGUUGCCGCUCUUGGGUGAUUUUCUCACAUUCCCUUAAAUCAUUAUACGCUAUUAACAAUGUUGAACGUGCUCUGUGCCGCAAGGCUAUUAAUAUAAUACAACUUUUAACAACGGAUCUCUUGGCUCUC
RNAcentral lists this unclassified non-coding RNA (269 nucleotides) under plant metagenome. RNAcentral's name for it is "partial contains small subunit ribosomal RNA, internal transcribed spacer 1, and 5.8S ribosomal RNA". The record is from RNAcentral.